CUGCAUAAUUAUGUAUUCAUGCAAUUUAAAAAGAAAAAAACAUAAGAGAGAAGAAAAGUAAAAAACAAAAUUUGUUUUUUGUAUUACCAUUAC
This 93-nucleotide non-coding RNA is filed under the name Paraphysomonas bandaiensis. Lineage: Eukaryota; Chrysophyceae; Chromulinales; Paraphysomonadaceae. The record is from RNAcentral.